CCUACGGGUGGCAGCAGUAGGGAAUCUUUCACAAUGGGCGAAAGCCUGAUGGAGCAACGCCGCGUGCAGGAUGAAGGCCUUCGGGUUGUAAACUGCUUUUAUAAGCGACAAAUAUGAUGUGAACUUAUGUAUAUGAAUCGCCUCACUAAGUGCCAGCAGCCGCGGUCAUACGUAGGGUCCGAGCAUUAUCCGGAGUGACUGGGUGUAAAGAGUUGCGUAGGUGGCAUAAUUAGUAGCUAGUGAAAUCUGGUGGCUCAACUACUCGGACUAGUAGCUGAACUGUUAAGCUUGAGAACGUUAGGGGUAACUGGAAUUUCUAGUGUAGGAGUGAAAUGCGUAGAUAUUAGAAGGAACACCGAUAGCGUAGGCAGGUUACUGGGCCGGUUCUGACACUAAGGCACGAAAGCGUAGGGAGCGAACGGGAUUAGAUACCCGUGUAGUC
RNAcentral lists this ribosomal RNA (442 nucleotides) under uncultured bacterium. Its description in RNAcentral is "partial 16S ribosomal RNA". It matches the Rfam family "Bacterial small subunit ribosomal RNA", at positions 338 to 795 of the family's 1533-position model. The record is from RNAcentral.